UGUCGAGGGGACGAACGGCUCUGCGGUUAAUACCCGCAGAGCGUGACGGUACCCUCAAAGGAAGCACCGGCUAACUCCGUGCCAGCAGCCGCGGUAAUACGGAGGGUGCAAGCGUUGUUCGGAAUUACUGGGCGUAAAGCGCGUGUAGGCGGCUUGGCAAGUCGGAUGUGAAAUCCCCGGGCUCAACCCGGGAACUGCAUCCGAAACUGCUUCGCUAGAGUCUCGGAGAGGAAGGCAGAAUUCCCAGUGUAGGGGUGAAAUCCGUAGAUACUGGGAGGAAUACCGGCAGCGAAGGCGGCCUUCUGGACGAUGACUGACGCUGAGACGCGAAAGCGUGGGGAGCAAACAGGAUUAGAUACCCUGGUAGUCCACGCCGUAAACGUUGUGCACUAGGUGUCGGGAGUAUUCACCCUCCCGGUGCCGACGCUAACGCAAUAAGUGCACCGCCUGGGGAGUACGGCCGCAAGGCUA
This 471-nucleotide ribosomal RNA is filed under the name uncultured Pseudomonadota bacterium. Its description in RNAcentral is "bacterial SSU rRNA". It matches the Rfam family "Bacterial small subunit ribosomal RNA", at positions 434 to 896 of the family's 1533-position model. Lineage: Bacteria; Pseudomonadati; Pseudomonadota. The record is from RNAcentral.